AUUGAACGCUGGCGGCAAGCCUAACACAUGCAAGUCGAACGAGUGGCGGACGGGUGAGUAAUGUCUGGGAAACUGCCUGAUGGAGGGGGAUAACUACUGGAAACGGUAGCUAAUACCGCAUACCAUCGGAUGUGCCCAGAUGGGAUUAGCUAGUAGGUGGGGUAAAGGCUCACCUAGGCGACGAUCCCUAGCUGGUCUGAGAGGAUGACGGGCGACAGGGGAACUGAGACACGGUACAGCGCCCAACGGGUGGAAGAAGUGGGUAGUUUUGGAAAAUGGGCGAAAGCUGGAGGAGGCAAGGCCGGGUGGAGUAAGAAGGCCUGCGGGCUGUAAAGUACUUUGAGCGGGGAGGCGUUACCCGAAGAAGAAGCACCGGCUAACUCCGUGCCAGCAGCCGCGGUAAUAC
RNAcentral lists this ribosomal RNA (406 nucleotides) under uncultured bacterium. Its description in RNAcentral is "partial 16S ribosomal RNA". It matches the Rfam family "Bacterial small subunit ribosomal RNA", at positions 29 to 526 of the family's 1533-position model. The record is from RNAcentral.